GAGGAAGAAGAAGAACAUGUGGAAGGUACUGCAUCCAUGUCAGAGUCGAGCCCUGAGGAGAGGUUGAAAGAACUUGAAAAGAUCGUGGCAGAUACAAAGCAAGAUCUUGAGCAUAAAAAUCGAGAGCUUGAGCAACUGAGAUCUUCUUUAACUGCAUUAGCUCCACAGGAAGGAAUUGAUUCACUUCCAAAAAGUUUGCCAGCACAAACAGAUGGUCAAGGGACUGGUCAACCACCAUCAAAUAAUGAGAUCAGUUUAAGCAUGGAAUAAGAGUACUAGCUUUUGUCAUGUUGUGUCCAUAAUUAUUUAAGUGAAUUAACUUAUAUAAGUUCCUACUGAUAAAAAUACUGUUGGGCGUCAUUUUGCAUGCAUGUAUUGAAAAAAUUGCAUUGAAAAAAUUGUAUUGAAAAAAUUACAUAAUCUGAAUAGCUUGCUAAAUACCAUGUAUUAUUCUGUAAUUAGACGAGGUGUCGCAAUCUUUCUUUAUAGUAAGUAGGAGGGCACGACACCAAAAGUGUUCUUAUGAUAUUAAUUAUACUAAAAUAUUCGUUAUUAUUUAUGAUCCUCGGAUUGUUAACGAGUCUA
Molecule: long non-coding RNA, 585 nt
Organism: Populus euphratica (Euphrates poplar)
Lineage: Eukaryota; Viridiplantae; Streptophyta; Magnoliopsida; Malpighiales; Salicaceae
Exons: 2
Source: RefSeq, a predicted model, not a curated record